Molecule: long non-coding RNA, 936 nt
Organism: Oxyura jamaicensis (ruddy duck)
Lineage: Eukaryota; Metazoa; Chordata; Aves; Anseriformes; Anatidae
Exons: 2
Source: RefSeq, a predicted model, not a curated record
AAACCAUACAUCUGACUGCCCUGUUACUCCAAGCACCUUUACACGGCAGUGGCAGCACUGCCAUCUUUCAGUCUCCUUGCAGAGCUGAGAAGUGACACAUCACCUGAGAAUAACUUCUUCACCUUCCUGUACUGCUGGAAAGCAUAUAGUGAAGUCGCACGAGAAUCUUGAAGACAACUUUUGGUCAUAAAAAGUCAGCCACCAAAAUCAGUUUUUCACAGCAACACAUGAGUUGAUAUGAAGGAAAAAGCCUCUCCGUUCUACAAGAAAACCUUUGGAGGGAACGACUCCAGCAAAGCUGACAGCCUGGCAGAUACCUGAGGGUUGAAGGAGCAGCAGACCAUACUCUAGCCUCCCUUUCCCCAGAGAAUGCUCCAGCUAGUAGAAUGUUGUAGGGAAACAUCAUUCAUUCCCCUUGCCUUCACCAUCCUUUUCUGUUUCCCUAAGCUAUGAGGGAACAGAAGACUGUCCUCAGGCAAACUGAAAACUCAGACACUGUUUAAGCAAGAAUCAAUAGGUAAAACCAGAUAAGCCAAAAGACUGCCAGAAAGAAAAACCAAACCAAACCAAACAAUAAAACUCAACCCUGGGAGUAAACAGAGGGAGAGGGAAAAUCUUUUGAGAUACAGCUGACUAGGAGAGGACUUGGAGCUGUGAGCGUGUGGAUGGCUCAUAACCUCCUAGUGUUCCUGGUGUACUCAAGGAAAAUUGGACAAGGCCACAAUCUUAUGUAAUGGCACUUAUAGCGUAUAAUCUUACUACUUGGUGCAAUUUCACUGAUGGGGGAACACAACACGAGUCUUCAUAUAUAUUAUUAAAGUGUACAGCACAGUCAAAGUGCUCUCAAAAACAGAAUCCCAAAAUACAUCUUUAGUUUUGUUUACAGUGGUCUUUUUCUUCUGCACAGCUCUUUAGGACAUCUAUUACUAGUUAUUU